This 71-nucleotide transfer RNA is filed under the name Yarrowia lipolytica. It matches the Rfam family "tRNA". From Rfam's summary of the family: Transfer RNA (tRNA) molecules are approximately 80 nucleotides in length. Their secondary structure includes four short double-helical elements and three loops (D, anti-codon, and T loops). The record is from RNAcentral. Lineage: Eukaryota; Fungi; Ascomycota; Dipodascomycetes; Dipodascales. RNAcentral also lists the same sequence under 6 other names.
GGGCGGUUGGUGUAGUGGUAACAUAUCUGCCUUCCAAGCAGGUGCCAGGGGUUCAAUUCCCCUACCGCUCA